ACCGGCCUGCAAAGCAGGUGGGCGAUCAACGCUGGUUGAACCAACAUUCAUUGAACAGGGGCUCAACUCGACAAUCGGUUCUGUGUGCCGUGUCCGCCAGUCCGGAAUGCCUAAUGAACCGCGGAGAGCUCCACCUUCUUAGGAAGGGUUCACCAGCGCAUCAACCACGGCCCCGUGGGUCGGAU
RNAcentral lists this non-coding RNA (185 nucleotides) under Occallatibacter sp. RNAcentral's name for it is "6S RNA". It matches the Rfam family "6S / SsrS RNA". From Rfam's summary of the family: E. coli 6S RNA was the first non coding RNA to be sequenced, but its function was unknown until recently. It consists of 184 nucleotides that fold into an extended hairpin structure with a large single-stranded internal bulge. Lineage: Bacteria; Pseudomonadati; Acidobacteriota; Terriglobia; Terriglobales; Acidobacteriaceae. The record is from RNAcentral.